RNAcentral lists this ribosomal RNA (497 nucleotides) under uncultured bacterium. Its description in RNAcentral is "partial 16S ribosomal RNA". It matches the Rfam family "Bacterial small subunit ribosomal RNA", at positions 28 to 507 of the family's 1533-position model. The record is from RNAcentral.
GAUGAACGCUGGCGGCGUGCCUAAUACAUGCAAGUCGAGCGAACGGACGAGAAGCUUGCUUCUCUGAUGUUAGCGGCGGACGGGUGAGUAACACGUGUAUAACCUACCUAUAAUACUGGGAUAACUUCGGGAAACCGGAGCUAAUACCGGAUGAUAUUUUGAACCGCAUGGUUCAAAAGUGAAAGACGGUCUUGCUGUCACUUAUAGAUGGAUCCGCGCUGCAUUAGCUAGUUGGUAAGUUAACGGCUUACCAAGGCAACGAUGCAUAGCCGACCUGAGAGAGUGAUAGGCCACACUGGAGCUGAGCCACGGUCCAGACUACUACGGGAGGCAGCAGAAGGGAAUCUUAAGCAAUGGGCGAAAGCCUGACGGAGUAACGCCGAGUGAGUGAUGAAGGUCUUGGGAUCGUAAAACCCUGUUACUAGUGAAGAACAUAUGUGUACGUAACUGUGCACAUCUUGACGGUACUGAAUCAGAAAGCCACGGCUAACUACGUG